Molecule: ribosomal RNA, 1534 nt
Filed under: Klebsiella pneumoniae
Lineage: Bacteria; Pseudomonadati; Pseudomonadota; Gammaproteobacteria; Enterobacterales; Enterobacteriaceae
Description: bacterial SSU rRNA
Rfam family: Bacterial small subunit ribosomal RNA
Source: RNAcentral
AAAUUGAAGAGUUUGAUCAUGGCUCAGAUUGAACGCUGGCGGCAGGCCUAACACAUGCAAGUCGAGCGGUAGCACAGAGAGCUUGCUCUCGGGUGACGAGCGGCGGACGGGUGAGUAAUGUCUGGGAAACUGCCUGAUGGAGGGGAUAACUACUGGAAACGGUAGCUAAUACCGCAUAACGUCGCAAGACCAAAGUGGGGACCUUCGGGCCUCAUGCCAUCAGAUGUGCCCAGAUGGGAUUAGCUAGUAGGUGGGGUAACGGCUCACCUAGGCGACGAUCCCUAGCUGGUCUGAGAGGAUGACCAGCCACACUGGAACUGAGACACGGUCCAGACUCCUACGGGAGGCAGCAGUGGGGAAUAUUGCACAAUGGGCGCAAGCCUGAUGCAGCCAUGCCGCGUGUGUGAAGAAGGCCUUCGGGUUGUAAAGCACUUUCAGCGGGGAGGAAGGCGUUAAGGUUAAUAACCUUGGCGAUUGACGUUACCCGCAGAAGAAGCACCGGCUAACUCCGUGCCAGCAGCCGCGGUAAUACGGAGGGUGCAAGCGUUAAUCGGAAUUACUGGGCGUAAAGCGCACGCAGGCGGUCUGUCAAGUCGGAUGUGAAAUCCCCGGGCUCAACCUGGGAACUGCAUUCGAAACUGGCAGGCUAGAGUCUUGUAGAGGGGGUAGAAUUCCGGUGUAGCGGUGAAAUGCGUAGAGAUCUGGAGGAAUACCGGUGGCGAAGGCGGCCCCUGGACAAAGACUGACGCUCAGGUGCGAAAGCGUGGGGAGCAAACAGGAUUAGAUACCCUGGUAGUCCACGCCGUAAACGAUGUCGAUUUGGAGGUUGUGCCCUUGAGGCGUGGCUUCCGGAGCUAACGCGUUAAAUCGACCGCCUGGGGAGUACGGCCGCAAGGUUAAAACUCAAAUGAAUUGACGGGGCCCGCACAAGCGGUGGAGCAUGUGGUUUAAUUCGAUGCAACGCGAAGAACCUUACCUGGUCUUGACAUCCACAGAACUUUCCAGAGAUGGAUUGGUGCCUUCGGGAACUGUGAGACAGGUGCUGCAUGGCUGUCGUCAGCUCGUGUUGUGAAAUGUUGGGUUAAGUCCCGCAACGAGCGCAACCCUUAUCCUUUGUUGCCAGCGGUCCGGCCGGGAACUCAAAGGAGACUGCCAGUGAUAAACUGGAGGAAGGUGGGGAUGACGUCAAGUCAUCAUGGCCCUUACGACCAGGGCUACACACGUGCUACAAUGGCAUAUACAAAGAGAAGCGACCUCGCGAGAGCAAGCGGACCUCAUAAAGUAUGUCGUAGUCCGGAUUGGAGUCUGCAACUCGACUCCAUGAAGUCGGAAUCGCUAGUAAUCGUAGAUCAGAAUGCUACGGUGAAUACGUUCCCGGGCCUUGUACACACCGCCCGUCACACCAUGGGAGUGGGUUGCAAAAGAAGUAGGUAGCUUAACCUUCGGGAGGGCGCUUACCACUUUGUGAUUCAUGACUGGGGUGAAGUCGUAACAAGGUAACCGUAGGGGAACCUGCGGUUGGAUCACCUCCUUA